Molecule: ribosomal RNA, 301 nt
Filed under: uncultured bacterium
Lineage: Bacteria
Description: partial 16S ribosomal RNA
Rfam family: Bacterial small subunit ribosomal RNA
Source: RNAcentral
CAGCCGCCGCGGUAAUACGGAGGGUGCAAGCGUUAAUCGGAAUUACUGGGCGUAAAGCGUGCGUAGGCGGUUCGUUAAGUCUGUUGUGAAAGCCCCGGGCUCAACCUGGGAAUGGCAAUGGAUACUGGCGAGCUAGAGUGUGUCAGAGGAUGGUGGAAUUCCCGGUGUAGCGGUGAAAUGCGUAGAGAUCGGGAGGAACAUCAGUGGCGAAGGCGGCCAUCUGGGACAACACUGACGCUGAGGCACGAAAGCGUGGGGAGCAAACAGGAUUAGAUACCCCCGUAGUCCCUGUCUCUUAUAC